RNAcentral lists this ribosomal RNA (253 nucleotides) under uncultured bacterium. Its description in RNAcentral is "partial 16S ribosomal RNA". It matches the Rfam family "Bacterial small subunit ribosomal RNA", at positions 524 to 776 of the family's 1533-position model. The record is from RNAcentral.
GACGUAGGGCGCAAGCGUUGUCCGGAUUUAUUGGGCGUAAAGAGCUCGUAGGCGGCUCGUUGCGUCGGCUGUGAAAACCCGCAGCUUAACUGUGGGCCUGCAGCCGAUACGGGCGGGCUGGAGUUCGGUAGGGGAGACUGGAAUUCCUGGUGUAGCGGUGAAAUGCGCAGAUAUCAGGAGGAACACCGGCGGUGUAGACGGCUUGCUAGACCACCCCUGACGCUGAGGCACGAAAGCGUGGGUAGCAAACAGG